RNAcentral lists this ribosomal RNA (206 nucleotides) under Mantidactylus majori (Ivohimanita Madagascar frog). Its description in RNAcentral is "partial 16S ribosomal RNA". It matches the Rfam family "Bacterial large subunit ribosomal RNA", at positions 1923 to 2133 of the family's 2925-position model. Lineage: Eukaryota; Metazoa; Chordata; Amphibia; Anura; Mantellidae. The record is from RNAcentral.
UUCAACGGCCACGGUAUCCUGACCGUGCGAAGGUAGCAUAAUCACUUGUUCUUUAAAUGGGGACUUGUAUCAACGGCAUCACGAGGGUUUUACUGUCUCCUUUUUCUAAUCAGCGAAACUAAUCUCCCCGUGAAGAAGCGGGGAUAUUUAUAUAAGACGAGAAGACCCCAUGGAGCUUCAAACCCAAUUACACCCCCCCCCCCCCC